GGGAAGACCUGGCCGCCUCCAGCUCCCCUCUCACCUCCUGGGCGCGUCUCCUAAAAGAGGGAGAGAGGAAAAGAAAUUUCCCUCACUUUUCCCGUAGUUAAUUAGCAAAACUCAUCCGCUUUGCAGAGGUUCUCAUAGCUUCAGACUCCCGGAGCUCGAGAGCUGCGGGGUCAACGCCAGUGGCUCGCAGGCCGUCCAAUGGGAGAAGACGUUGGAGGUACCCGGCCAAGUUCAGCUUCACGAACUGCGGGGAGCUUGGCGGGCUGUCGCUGCAACCCGGGAGUAGGCCGCAGAAGUCGCGAGUUCAGGCGUCCCGACUGCCGUGUGGCUGUCGCGAUGUUUUUCUCCCAGGCCGGGGCCCGGCCGCGGACGUGGGAAGCCAGCCAGUCGGAACACAAGAAGUGGGUGGAAGUAUUUAAAGCAUGCGAUGAAGAAAACAAAGGCUAUCUAAGCAGAGAGGACUUUAAAGUUGCUGUUGUAAUGCUGUUUGGAUACAAGCCCUCCAAGAUAGAAGCUGAUUCUGUGAUGUCCUCAGUAGAUCCAAACACUUCCGGGAUAUUACUUAAGGAGUUUUUAGACAUUGUAAGGAAAAAGAAGGAAGCUCAACUAUAUCGGAAUGAAAUAAGACACAUCUUCACAGCUUUUGACAGGCACUAUCAUGGAUAUUUAACUCUGGAAGAUUUCAAGAAAGCAUUUAAGCAGGUGGCUCCCAAGUUAUCGGAAAGGAUUAUUCUCGAGGUAUUCAGGGAAGUAGAUCAAGACUCAGAUGGUCACGUCAGCUUUAAAGACUUCGAAUAUGCCAUGAACUACGGACAAAAAGGAAGGGGCACAUGAACGUCAUAAUGCAGCCCUGAGCGGAACACCCAGAUAAGGGACUGACUGUGGGGUUAGACUGUGACCGUGGGAGCUGGCGGCGAGGUCUCAAGGAGUCUCUGAGUCAUACGCCUCUGCGUGUGAAAGUGGGCCUGAAGUUGCUGUAGGUCACAAGGCCGGAAAUUGGGAAGGAAACAUGGAUAUGACGACAGUGGUCUCAACCCGGGGUGAUUUGCCCCCCAGGAGACAUUCAGCAAAGCCUAGAGACAGUUUGGGUUCCCACAACUGCCAUGAGUGUCGCUACCAGCAUCUAGCGGGUAGAGGCCAGGGAUGCCGCUGAACACCCCACAAUGCACAGGACAGCCCCACACAACAAAGAAUCAUCUGGCUUAAAACAGCCUCAGUGCUGAGGCUGAGAAACCUCAAGGUUAAGGUAAAGAAAGGCUGGGACCUGCGAGGCCGGCUGGAGCCCAUGUUUGUCUCCCACAGUGUCCAAGCUCCAUGCAGGGUGACCCACGGAAGCUGCUGGCGUCCUGUGCUGUGCAGCGACGCUUGCACUUGGCCGAGGACUUGGAAAAUCUGAAAGAGGAGGUUGGGCAUUGGCCGAGAGGCUGCAGGCCGCUGCCCCCUGCAACAGGUGAGCCGCAGAAGAGCUGCGGCCCGCGAGCUGCGGCAGUGCGGGGUGCCCUGCACCGACCUUCAGAGUGUAAGGGCUGCUGCUUCACCGCCACCUUCUGGACCUCAUGCUCACUUCUCUCGUGGCCAAGCCCGGCGCGGAGCCACAUGGAGAGCGGCACGCUAGGAAAUGUGGUUCCCGCUUAGCGCAGUUGCCCUGGUAACACACCUCCGCGGUGGACCACGUGGAGCUCCGCUCACCAGCACUUUUCACUUAGGAUGUGGCUUUUCCCCACCUCACUCCCAACCUUGAAUGCACUUCAAGGAGACUUGGCAUUUCAACUGUCUGAAUCUGCAAGCAGCUGGUGUGCUUUAGACGGAGAGUUGUGCAUCCACAUCUGUUCUUUCCUUCAGGAAUAGAGUCAUGGCUGGACACACAGCUGCCUGGAUGGACUACACGUCCCAGAGGCCCCUGCAGGUGUAGCUGUGACAUUAAGUACUGACCAUAGGGCUCUGAGGGAGGCAGUUGUGCCAGCUCCCGAGCCGGCCCUUCAGACACUGGCUGUGCACUCCUCCGUGUGCUCUACCCAUUUCCAGCUGGAACCCAGAGGUGGGGGCAGUCAGCUUCAACCGCGUAAGGACAAGAGCAGAGCAGCAAGACGGAAAGAUUCUGGAGGCUUUGUGGUCCAGAGAAUCUUUAAGCAUCCUUUUUCUUGAGUUCUGAGUGAACAGAUUAGUCACUUAGCUUGCAGAUGUUAAGAGUCAACUCAAAUCCACUGAAGCAGCAAAACGAGUAUAUUUGCUCACGUAAUUGGGAAGUCUGGGGUAAGAAUUGCAGGCAUAGCUGGAUCUAGGGGUUCAAACGAUGUCAUUAGGGCUCUCCAUCUCUCAGUCUGGGCUUUCUGCAGAAGUCCAGGGAAGAUGGCCUUCAGAAAUUCCAGGCUUAAAAUCUCCUUAUAGCUCAUGACCCAGCACAAGACAGGAGCUUCUCUCUUCCAACAUAUAUUUUUAAUUACGCAGAACAAGUGCUGGAUGGUCCUGCUGGGAUCACAGGCUCACCCCUGAACUCAUUGCUCUGAAACCCAGAAGGAGAUUGGAAUGAAUCUGUAAAAUCACUACCUGCGACAGUCUACUUGAGAAGUUAACCAACAUUACCGGGAGCGAAGACAGUGCCGAAGAGGGGGUAAAGUCAGGAAAUAUAAGUUGGGGUUCAGAAGAUGGAAAAUCAUGCUCACUGGGGGGAAUUUGGAAAGGCUUCACAGCAGAGGUGGGAUUUGAACUGGGCCUUGAAAGACUUAGAGCUUAAAAAUGCAUAAAGAAGAAAAUACUGUACUUUCUUUUCUGGCCAUUUUCAAAGGCUCAGGCAAGCUCAGUAGCACUGUGGGAUGGAAAGGACCCUGUUGUUUUUCUCUCCUCUGCCAUUGGUUCGGGAUGAGAAGUGCUUCCCUCUGAGCACUGAAUCCUUCCAGAGGCUGACAAACAUGGGGAAGAGUCUGGUUGCCAGGACACACAUCUCCAGCCCAGGCACUCUCAUGUAAAGCAAGAAGAAACAUCGUGCUUCUCUGUAACCUGAAGAAAGGAUGCUGGAGUGGAGUCAAGCCCCAGGGUGACCUUGGACCCUACCUGGUGAAGAUGGCAGAGCCUCAAGCCGCUGGGUCCCUUGAAUGAGUGUGUGAAGGAAGGUCACCUAGCAACCAGGAUGGCCCCUGUCAAAUGGCUACAGGUAGAUGUAAGAAGCAAAUGUAUAUUGUGGUUGGCCUCUGAAAUUUGGAAUUUGUUUAUUACGGCAGCUAGCUUCUUAGGCAAUUUGCAUUAUCUUAACCAAUAUGGUCAUUUAAUUUGAAGAAGUGGGGAAAAAGCUACUAACAUAAGAAUAGAGGUUACCAGGUGCACUGACAAGGGCUAACAGGACAGUUCCCAUCAAGACUAUGGAUUUCGGCACCAGACUGCAGGAUUGAAAGCCAGUUCUGCCAUUUACUGGGUAUAUAACUUUAGGCAAGUGUAUUAGCUGGGGUUCUCCAGAGAAACAGAACCAGUAGGAUGUGAUACAUAUGUAGAAAGAGAUUUAUUUUAAGCAAUUGACUUAUGUGAUUGUGGAGGGUUGGCAAGUCCAGAAUCUGAUGGGGGAGGCCAACAGGCUGGAGACACAGGUAAGAGUUGCACUUCAAAUCCAAAGGCAGUCUGUUAGUGAACCAGGAAGGGCCAGUGCUGCAGAUGGAGUCCACAGGCAGUCUGCUGGUAGAAUUUCUUCUUGCUUAGAGAGAGGUUAGCUUUUCGUUCUUUUCAGGCCUUCAGCUGAUUGGAUGAGGCCCGCCCAGCAUUAUUGAGGGCAAUCUGCUUGGCUCAAAGUCCACUGCUUUAAAUGUAAAUCUCAUCCAAAAACACUCUCAUAGAAACAUCCAGAAUAAUGUUUGACCAAAUAUCUGGGCACCAUGGCCCAGCCAAGUUGACACAUAAAAGCAACCAUCAUAGGAAGUUAAUCUCCCAGUGCCUCAGUGUUCUCAUCUGUAAAAUGGAGAUAAUAAAAGAACCUAUCCUAGUGGGUGAACAUGAAGGCUAAAUGAAUCAAUGCAUGUGUUUAGCAUAGUGUCUGCACAUCGUGCUCAGUGAGUGUUUGCUCUUGACUAUUAUUAUUAUUAAUUAGUAUUGUCAUAGGCUUUGGCUGUAUGCUUCUCUCUGAUGAAAACGCUAAGAAAAAAUGUAAGCAGGGCCACCAAGAGUAACAGGAUUGUUUGGCUGGGAACACCAGUAAUGUGAUGAGAGACUUCGCACAUUAAAAUUCUCAUAAUGUAGCAAAUGGAGACUUGCAUACUCACAUUUGCAGGCUAUAUUGGCCAGUUCUCCAUUAGUCAGUGGCUAUUUUUUUCUUGUUAUUCCAUGAAUAAAUUUUAAUAUAUUCAACCUUCCCCAUAAACUGCUUAUUUACUGUUCAUAUUAAUGCAAUAUAGCAAAAACAUUUACAUGACUGGAAUCUUUUGCAGUCUACUAGAGCAUUUCUCUUGCAUUUCUUUCCCUUCAUUUCUGGUGAGAAAAUUCAUUUUUGCUCUACAUGCUUUUGAAUUAACUGUCACUCCUCAGGAAUGCAGUAUCAGCAUAAAUCAAGAAGCUGAUGUGGAGUGGAAUGAUUAAGAAUCUGGCUUGUGGUUGGGCAAAAUUGGGCGUGAGCCUUUCCAAGCCCUGGCUUCUUCACAGAGUGUUGUUGUGAGGACGGAAUGGUGAGUCUCAGCACAGUGCCUGGCCCUCAGGAAGCACUCGAUGAAUGGGAACUAUGAUGAUUCCUUUCAUUAGGAAUUCUCUGUAUUGUUGUUACAAUGUUCCACCUUGCGCUGGGGAGACCUAGCAUCCUGGGUCCCUGAAUGACUGUGUGGAGGAAGCAACCAGGAUCACCACUGUCAAACUGUUACACAUGCAAGGAGUCAACUAUUGUGGUUAAACUUCUAAAUUUGAGGUUUGCUCAGAAUUCCAAAGGAUGCAUGCACCUAUUUACAAUAGCCAGGACGUGGAAGCAGCCUGAAUGUUCAUUGACAGAGGAAUGGGUAAAGAAGAUGUGGUAAUAUAUAAGUGGAA
RNA transcript from Aethalodelphis obliquidens (Pacific white-sided dolphin), 4995 nucleotides. It is a transcript of the gene named EF-hand calcium binding domain 11, with no coding region annotated. The record is from RefSeq and is a predicted model, not a curated record. The transcript is spliced from 9 exons. Lineage: Eukaryota; Metazoa; Chordata; Mammalia; Artiodactyla; Delphinidae.